GCUACAUUCAGACUAUCAGUACACUCAACUGUUCGUUGGUCCCUUGAAGAUAUUAUGAUGUAAGAAGAUGCAUCUCUGAUUCCUUAGUCAACCUCCUGAGACCCCCCUGCUACCUCUACUGCUUGACCUUGAAGCCAGCUACAUGAUCAGUGCCCAUGUGAAAGAGUCAAGGCAAAC
This 177-nucleotide long non-coding RNA is filed under the name Mustela putorius furo (domestic ferret). RNAcentral describes it as "lncRNA (ENSMPUG00000028810.1)". The record is from RNAcentral. Lineage: Eukaryota; Metazoa; Chordata; Mammalia; Carnivora; Mustelidae.